Long non-coding RNA from Lytechinus variegatus (green sea urchin), 659 nucleotides. RefSeq lists it as uncharacterized. The record is from RefSeq and is a predicted model, not a curated record. Lineage: Eukaryota; Metazoa; Echinodermata; Echinoidea; Temnopleuroida; Toxopneustidae. The transcript has 3 exons.
AGGUUACGUUUCUGAAUUGACAAAACGGAGUGAAAAGGGCGUCAACCAGCUUCGAGAUUGAGGUUAUUUUGCAUCUGUAUUUGGAGAGGAAAGAUCCAAGAUGUCUGGCGGAGGAAGCGAUAUGACUCUUAGAAAGACUGUUGAUCAGCUGAGACGAGAAGCAAACAUUGAAAGAUGUAAAUUGUCACAAGUGGCUGCCGAACUUCUUAACUAUUGUGAGCAGAAUGUCGGUAAUGACUAUCUACUGACCGGCAUCCCCCUUCCUGGUGUGACGAACCCUUACAAGGAGAAGAAAAUUGGAUGCAGUAUCAUUUGAGGUCGUUACAGAUGCCCUUUUUUCUACACAUCGAUAUCCCACUCUAGAUGAAAAUCCUUGCAUCUUUUCUACACCUGUCCCGCUUUGCGACCCACAGUAUCGGAGAUGUACCUAGCGCCCGACCUAGCAUUUUUUUUUUCAACUCACGCUUCAUGCUGCUGCUUCAACCUUACAGUGUGCUUGUAUAUAUUUAUCACUUGUGACCGCCGAGCUGGCAAUCCAUAAUCAGUUGCAAAACAACGUUAAAAUGCCAAACUUGUUUAGACAGAUGUGGGUGAUUCCAUCAGGUUUCAUCCAAAAUGAUAUCUAGGGACAGUGAUUUUCCAUUUACCGGUAAAUAAAA